This is a non-coding RNA of Phrynosoma platyrhinos (Desert horned lizard), 72 nucleotides long. The record is from the annotation of a GenBank genome assembly. NCBI's taxonomy places the organism in Eukaryota, Metazoa, Chordata, Lepidosauria, Squamata, Phrynosomatidae.
GCCAGUGUGGCAUAGUGGUUUGAGCACUGGACUACAACUCUGAAGACUGGGGUUCGAUUUCUCACUCAGCCA